This is a long non-coding RNA of Neofelis nebulosa (Clouded leopard), 794 nucleotides long. RefSeq lists it as uncharacterized. The transcript has 2 exons. The record is from RefSeq and is a predicted model, not a curated record. Lineage: Eukaryota; Metazoa; Chordata; Mammalia; Carnivora; Felidae.
ACUAGAGCCCCAAAGGUCAAAUGGGGAGGAAAAAAGGGAGGGAGGGAUGCAGGAUUGACUCCGACCUGCCCCAGCAAGUUGUUCUCACUUGGCACAGACGUUUAUUGUCUGCGGAGGGCCAGGCUCUGAACUGUGCCACUGAGAGGUCAGGGUCUGCCUAGAUCUGAAAGAUGAGGAAGAGAAUUGGGAUACAUGUUCCCUCAACUCAGACUACAACUGAAACCUAUAUAUUACUGUGCAUGUGUUUUUCUUUGGCUGUUGCCUUCCACAGGCACAAAAUCAAAGGGACCCUUAGGAGGACAGUGUGAUUUUCUAGAAAUAAUGGCUUUCAGUGGCUCAGCUUGCACCAGGCAGAAGAGAUGAAGUUUGUCUUGGAAAGUCUUUCAGUGAGUGAUAUUACCGGUGCUGGAGACCGCCUGCGCCCUUGCCCCCCUGCAUGGCACUGCCCACUAUACCUCUGCCUUCCACUCUGCCUCCACAGGGUCAUGCGGCUGACAUCAGUCAUGGUCGGGGUAAUGGUGAGGAGUCGCAGAGCAGGUACAUGUCCAUUGGGAACUGUCUUCGAGAACAAAUAAGCAAGGCUUGGUAGCAGCUGGUAUUGAGAAUCUGAUUUGCUGAGAAGAUGGAGGAACUAGUCACCAGGGAGUGUCCAGCUUUUCUGGCUUUUGUGGCCUGUUCCAUAGGUCUUUAGAGCCCAUGGGAACCUGUGUGUCUACUGGCUGCUCCCUAAAAACAAGCCUCCAUUACUUGAGUGGGAAUGGAAUCUUUGGCCAUUAAAGGAGGCAGGAAAUGCA